RNAcentral lists this ribosomal RNA (1465 nucleotides) under marine metagenome. Its description in RNAcentral is "bacterial SSU rRNA". It matches the Rfam family "Bacterial small subunit ribosomal RNA". The record is from RNAcentral.
AGAGUUUGAUCCUGGCUCAGGAUGAACGCUGGCGGCGUGCUUAACACAUGCAAGUCGAACGAACCUUCGGGUUAGUGGCGGACGGGUGAGUAACGCGUGGGAAUCUGCCCUCAGGAGGGGGAUAACGGCUGGAAACGGCCGCUAAUACCCCAUAUGCCGAGAGGUGAAAUGAAUUUCGCCUGAGGAUGAGCCCGCGUCUGAUUAGCUAGUUGGUGUGGUAAUGGCUCACCAAGGCUUCGAUCAGUAGCUGGUCUGAGAGGAUGAUCAGCCACACUGGGACUGAGACACGGCCCAGACUCCUACGGGAGGCAGCAGUGGGGAAUUUUCCGCAAUGGGCGAAAGCCUGACGGAGCAACGCCGCGUGAGGGAUGAAGGCCUCUGGGCUGUAAACCUCUUUUCUCAAGGAAGAAGAUAUGACGGUACUUGAGGAAUAAGCCACGGCUAAUUCCGUGCCAGCAGCCGCGGUAAUACGGGAGUGGCAAGCGUUAUCCGGAAUUAUUGGGCGUAAAGCGUCCGCAGGCGGCCUUUCAAGUCUGCUGUUAAAAAGUGGAGCUUAACUCCAUCAUGGCAGUGGAAACUGUUGGGCUUGAGUGUGGUAGGGGCAGAGGGAAUUCCCGGUGUAGCGGUGAAAUGCGUAGAUAUCGGGAAGAACACCAGUGGCGAAGGCGCUCUGCUGGGCCAUCACUGACGCUCAUGGACGAAAGCCAGGGGAGCGAAAGGGAUUAGAUACCCCUGUAGUCCUGGCCGUAAACGAUGAACACUAGGUGUCGGGGGAAUCGACCCCCUCGGUGUCGUAGCCAACGCGUUAAGUGUUCCGCCUGGGGAGUACGCACGCAAGUGUGAAACUCAAAGGAAUUGACGGGGGCCCGCACAAGCGGUGGAGUAUGUGGUUUAAUUCGAUGCAACGCGAAGAACCUUACCAGGGUUUGACAUCCUGCGAAUCUCUUGGAAACGAGAGAGUGCCUUCGGGAACGCAGUGACAGGUGGUGCAUGGCUGUCGUCAGCUCGUGUCGUGAGAUGUUGGGUUAAGUCCCGCAACGAGCGCAACCCACGUUUUUAGUUGCCAGCAUUUAGUUGGGCACUCUAGAGAGACCGCCGGUGAUAAACCGGAGGAAGGUGUGGAUGACGUCAAGUCAUCAUGCCCCUUACAUCCUGGGCUACACACGUACUACAAUGCUACGGACAAAGGGCAGCAAACUCGCGAGGGCAAGCAAAUCCCAUAAACCGUGGCUCAGUUCAGAUCGUAGGCUGCAACUCGCCUACGUGAAGCAGGAAUCGCUAGUAAUCGCAGGUCAGCAUACUGCGGUGAAUACGUUCCCGGGCCUUGUACACACCGCCCGUCACACCAUGGAAGUUGGCCACGCCCGAAGUCGUUACUCCAACCCUUGUGGAGGAGGACGCCGAAGGUGGGGCUGAUGACUGGGGUGAAGUCGUAACAAGGUAUCCGUACCGGAAGGUGCGGAUG